GGAGUUGUGGCUCAGUGGUAGAGCACUUGCCUAGCAUGUGCAAGGUGCUGGGUUUGAUCCUCAGCACCA
RNAcentral lists this transfer RNA (69 nucleotides) under Marmota marmota marmota (Alpine marmot). It matches the Rfam family "tRNA". Rfam says of the family: Transfer RNA (tRNA) molecules are approximately 80 nucleotides in length. Their secondary structure includes four short double-helical elements and three loops (D, anti-codon, and T loops). The record is from Rfam by way of RNAcentral. RNAcentral also lists the same sequence under 3 other names. Lineage: Eukaryota; Metazoa; Chordata; Mammalia; Rodentia; Sciuridae.